This 301-nucleotide small nuclear RNA is filed under the name Piliocolobus tephrosceles (Ugandan red Colobus). RNAcentral's name for it is "7SK RNA (ENSPTEG00000034771.1)". It matches the Rfam family "7SK RNA". From Rfam's summary of the family: 7SK was discovered as an abundant small nuclear RNA in the mid-70s but a possible function has only recently been suggested. Lineage: Eukaryota; Metazoa; Chordata; Mammalia; Primates; Cercopithecidae. The record is from Rfam by way of RNAcentral.
GGAUGUGAGGGUGAUCUGGCUGUAACAUCUGUUACCCCAUUGAUCGCCAGCGUUGAUUCAACCAAUCUAACCGUACAGGAAGGUGUCGCUUUCCUCCCUCACUGCUCCAUGUGCAUCUCUCCUGAAGUGUGUGCUCGAAGAGGACUCCAUCCCCGACAGAGGAGGACCAAUCUUCGGUCAAGGGUAUACGAGUAGCUAUGCUCCCCGGCUAGAACCUCCAAACAAGCUCUCAAGAAAAGGCUCAGGUAUAAAUGCAGUGGCUAAAGGCCAAGGGGCAGAGAGCUUUUGCCUGCCAGCUGCU